This is a long non-coding RNA of Columba livia (rock pigeon), 13477 nucleotides long. RefSeq lists it as uncharacterized. NCBI's taxonomy places the organism in Eukaryota, Metazoa, Chordata, Aves, Columbiformes, Columbidae. The transcript is spliced from 3 exons. The record is from RefSeq and is a predicted model, not a curated record.
ACUAAUGUUUUUGCUAGUGAUGGUUUGUAGGUUCUGCUGCAGACACAAGAUGUUAUUUUUUGGGUAGACUCAUCAGUCUACUGUUCUCUGUGGUAUUACUAAUACCUGUGGUACUCUUGACUGCAUGUAUCCCUUAUCUGAGAGAGCUUUUUAUCUUUAAAGAUGUCAACUGAAGCAAUUCCCACUACAUAUGCUACAUAUGGUUUCCCCAGUGGUGCUACCAGUGCUCUAGCAAGAGUACCUACUCUUAACUCAUUAUCUGUGACAUAAGUGAGUGACGCAUCUUCUCUUAACAGACCUAGCUUAAAGUUUCGCUUCUGUCAGUCUUUCCUGGGACUUGUGGUUUAUUUUGUACUCUCUUUUAUUAAUAAAAAAUUAGGAGUGUAGGUACGUUUUUCAGGUCUCCUUUGUACAAACAGAGAGAAAUGCUACAGUUGAACACAAAUGGUUUAGAAAAUUCCAGAGAAGAACGCCAUUUUUUACAAGGUCAAAUUUGUCAAAAAAAUAGAUUUGAAAAUACAGACACAUUCACAGCUAUCUUGCUGUAAGAAAUAAAAUCACAGCCAAAUAUAUCAAUACCCAGAUAAUAAGAGUGGUCUAUGUUUCUUAGCUGAAAUAAAGACAAGUUAAUAAAAUGAACAUAAGCCUUAAAUAUCCAUUACCAGACUAGCAGCUCUCUUUUUCAUAUUUGGACUGAAUGUUGGAUAUAGGAAUGGUUAUGUACUAAAGGGAAAAAAUAGCAGCUAAACAACCUUUGCCAGUAUGAAUAACUUGCUUUUUUUUGUUGAAUUCAGAUGAAAAAUAUUACAGCACAUCUAGUAGUGGAGAUCAGACAAAUGAUAUAAGAACAAUAAAAAUGCCUGAGGGACAGAAGGUGUUGAAGAAAGAUAUAGUUGAGUAUCACUAUCCACACAGGGGCACACAAACAUUGCCAAAGAAUUUGGCCUCUGAGUGCCAGUUUAUAGAUUAGGAACAGUGCUGGGCCAAGAGCAAAAUGCUCUGAGGGACAUCAGAGCUGAGCUUAUGCUUUGUAGGAAAUGAAUCCCACAACAGCCCAAGGUCAGAAUCUGGUCACCACUCUGCAAAUUACAACGAGACAAGACUAAUAUAAGCAGUGUAGGAAAAAGACAGUACUUUAAAUCUCCCUAUUAGACUCCUAUGUUGCAGUGAUGACCGAAAGAACACAAAGAAGUGCAUAAAAAAUUGAGGUAUUUUAAAUAUUAUCUGUUUUCUUGGGCAUAUAAUUCUGAAAUAAUUCAUAGCAGAUUUAAAGGAGGUAUGGACUUUGUAUGCAAAAGAGAACUAAUUGAAAGCUUACACAAUGCAGAUUUCUAAGUGUAGUUAUUGUCCUAAUCAAAUCAAAGCAAAAUGGCAGUCAAAAACAUUUGACCAAAAUUUAGAAGGUAUAAAAAAAUGAUCAGCGAUAAAGUUUACAAAUUAUUACUUCAAUAUUUCAGCUUGAGGAAGCAAAAAUAAAAGUGUAACUAUAUGAUAAGUGUUUUUAAUACUACUUAAUGUAAGUUGCACUCUGAAUCUGGGGACCUUCUUAAACAGGUGUUUACACUUCGCAGGAAACAUGGAAGUGUGUGUUGAACAGUAGAUGUUGGUGACUGUUGUGAAGAUACAAAAUACAACUCAGUCAUUGUGAAUCUGUAGAAUAUGUCAGAAAUCUUGUUUGACAGGGUUUAAAAUGAAGGAGGAAAGUCUGAGAAAACAGACAAGGGAGUGAAACCCAAGAAGCAAAGGGGUUGUAGGGAGUGAGGCAGUGAUAGAAUGCACAAGAAGAUGCUCUCUCCUGGGAGAGAGCCGAGGUGCUGGCAGUUGACAGGCCAAGAUGAAGGGCUGUGUUAUAUGCCUGACAACAGUGGAAAAUGAACACAAGCAAGCUAGAGGAACAAAAGUUUUUAAAAUAAUGCUUUAGUGUAUAAGGCCUGAAGAGAGCAAGUUGCUAUAAAGCUAAAUACAAAUAAAAGUGUGAAGUUAAUGAAAGGCUCACUAGGAAUCAAAGCAAUGGCUGUGAUUCUCCAGAUCUCGGUUCACCAAGCAGUCAGACUGUCUUUUGCAGGGCUGCAACAGGCAGGACAGUGGGGGAAUUCUCAUCCAGUACAGGAUGAGAUUUAGGUACGGUGCAGGUUGCUAUGUCUCCUCCUAUGUGAUCACAAAAAUCCUCUUUCUCAAUCUGCUUUAAGAUAAAAAUGACACAUUGCGAAGUCAAAAGAGCUGCAAUUCCUGUAGGAAGUCUCAUUACAAAUAUGAGACUCAAUGGUUAAAAUAGGAUCAAAUAAAUUAAGAAGUAUUAUGCAAUUUACCUCUAGUUAUGGAGGAGGAUUUUCUGCAGCUUUCAUGUUAGUUACAUUCUGCACUUGAAAAUGCUGCAUUAUUUAUUGUAUGCAUAAAAGUUGAUUCUCUAAGGUCUGUGAAGAGCUUUUUUAUUAAAAAGAAGUGGCAGCAUAUUCUGUUUCUUGAUAUCACACCAACAGCAAACACUAGAGUCAUGAGUGCUGCUACCUCCCUUGAUUUGUAUCAAGAGUAUAUUUAAAAUUUACAUACUUUUUUUUUUUUUUCAGAGAAUCAUGGUUCUAAUAGACUGUGGGAUAUUUAAAAUGUGAAAGAUGACAGGUUGAUCAGUUUUUCUUUGUACAACUUUUAAAGCUAAGAAUGUAACAUAAAUAAUACAGCAUGUUAUUUUCAACCGGUGAAGAAACAGAACAGCAGUUACCUCAGAACAUCAAGUCCUGUUUACCAAGAUAUUUUAAAGAAACUAUGCUACUGUGGUGAGAGUAUUGCAUACAUAUUCAAACUGUGCAUUUAUUAUACUCAGUAAUUAAAUUCAAAUUAUUAUGAGCUAUUUGGCAUUCUGUUUGACAUGGGAAAUACCACAGUUUCUGGCUUUAGCAGUUAAGUGGCUUGUGUUUCUAAUGAAGAGAGAUCUUGCAGUAUGGUAAACUAUCAUUAUCAGCAAGAUACGGUUUAAGCCCUGCUGUAACUUACAUGUCUGCUCUUUUUUUCUCUCUGCUUAUGUUCUACUUCUUUCUACUCAUGUAUCAAUUAUAGACAUUUUCAGGUCACUUUCAGUUCAUUUUUUUAAACAUUGUAAUUUUCAAAGAAGCAAUGAAAUAUGAAUGCAAUAGGAACAUGUGAUGAGUAAUACGAAACAUCUGUUUGGUUUCCUUUUUGCUAAACUCAGUGGCAGCCAGCUCACGGAUUAGAUAUUGGUUAUAGUCCCCCACAGUAUCUCAGAAAUCUGCAAACUAUGUUCCAGUUCCAUAUGCAUUGGUAGUCCUCGAGUGAGUCUAAUAAAGGCAGGAGAACUGGAAGAUGUGAUGGUGAUACAAGGCAGUUGCCAGUGAGAUGAAAAAGCCUGCCUGGAAACAGCUGAAGCAUAGAUCUGGAAAAAGGAAUGAGAGAUUUCAAAAUAGGCAGAAAUUAAAAUAGGAAGCUGAAAAAGAGGUUACACUGCAAAAUGCACUGUGUUUAUCUACCUCUGUUUAUCUCCUCUAUAGUAAUCAUAAUAGUGUUAUGUACUUUUAAACAUUUCAUUUGUAGUAAUGCCUGAAGCUUUUAAAUGACAUUUGAGUUGUCAAAAUUCAACUGAUUAAACAUGUGGACUAUUUUCCAGGGCAUUAUAAGAUAACAGAUGACAUUUAAGAGUUCACUAAUACUUAAAACCUCUGUACAGUGUAGUUCGGAAUCAUUGUUUUCAUUACCUACAUUAAGAAAUUGAGACACACAGUAAUGUAAUCAGUUGUUCAAGGUAUCUAGAAGUAAAGCAGGGGAGAGGUGUUGAAGCUUAGUCCUGUCUUUGACACACUAGCCCACACUGAGAAAAUAUUUGUUCUGACUGGACUUUUUUAUCUGGAACAUCUUACUAAAAAUUCAUCAGGAUAGCUACUAUUUUGAAAAUGUCUGAAAUGAUGAUGAAAAUGAUUACCAUUUCCUUGUGGGAAGGAAUCCUGCAUAGAUUCAUGCUGACAAGUUUGCCAUUGUGCUAAUAACUCCCUGCUUGUGCUCAAUGUUUACAUUAUUUUCUAAAACUACUGAAUCACUUAAAUCACAGGAACUAAACCAGCUUUCAUUUUCUCCUUGUAAAAAUAAUCACAGGGUUUCAAGAGUACAAGAAACAGAGGGCUGUGAUCCUUGUCCCAAAGGAAAUGUUUUUUUCUUCCUAUGUUUGUGCUCUCCAGUUUUGUACUUUCUAUACUUGAAAAUUAUUCCUGAAAGAAUCUUUCCUAGGAACUAUAUGCUGGCUUGGUUCCCUUGGACUCAAUGUGCACUUAAGUGUGGGAUGUAUUAGGUACCUUUCUAGAGUCCAUCUCCAACUAUGAACCCGUGUAGAAUAGCUGUAUGGGAUAUUUCCUCACAUACAGAAUGCUUAAGACAGCUCCUGGCUGCUUGGCAGAUUCUAGCAGCACCAUGGAGGAGGCACAGCCUCUGUGCCACUUUCUCAUUCCCACAGCAGUGCAACAUUGAUGGACACACAUUGUAUCUUGCUUGAGCAGAAAAAGAGGAGUAAGAAGUGAUUUAGGCAUUGGCUUGCUUGUAUGUCAGCAAUGGUGGUAACAUUCUGUACGUGAGGAAAUAUCCCAUACAGCUGUUCUACAUGGGUUCAUAGUUAGACCCACUUAUUCCCUAUAAAGAAUGUUUCUUUAACCUGCUUUGUAAGUGGAUUACACUCAAACAGAAAACCACAAAUAUACAGAAGCACAGGUUUGCUUUCAAACGGAGUCAGUGACAAAGAGUUGUUCUACUUUACCACCAAACUUGUUUUACAAAUGCUUUCUGAUAUAAACAGGUACUAAAACUAAACUUUCAGGGAGCAUGAAUGCAACACAAACUAGUGAAGAACAGCUGAUAAGAGUAAACAAACUAAUGAUCCAAUUUGAUACUUCUGUUUUACCAAAAAAAGUAUAAAGCAGGGAAAAAAAAAAAAAAAAAGUCCACAUAAAGAAGUGCUAGAACAUUGGUUUGCUUUAAGAAUGUAUUUUAUAUCUUGGGAUUCAUCUUUCAUAUCAGAUGUAGGAUGUGCUGUAUGGUGAUAAGAGAAGUAAAUAUGAUCAGGGUCAUAGUAAGAUGGGCUGGCACUACGCUCCUCCCUUAGUUGUUCUAGUCCCUGAGGAACUGUUAGGAUCCUCUUGAUUAUCCAGAGUGAUGAUUCCUUGGAGUAUACUUAAAGGAGAGACCACAGUGUACCUUAGAGCCACUCCCAAUUGUCCAAUCCAUGUUCACAUUCCAUUACAAUGAACUCUGGUAAAACAAUGUUUGCACUGUCUUAUUACUAUCUAGUGUAUUAGACCAUAGUAAAAACAUGGCUUAAUAUAAAAUAUAUCACAUUACAGUGAAUGAUCACUUGGCAGGAAUGGUUAUUUUAAAACUUUAUCUAAGGCCUUUAAACUAAGCUUUCACCAUCUGUUCUACCUUCUAAUUAUACAUGCAAAGGAACAUAAUUCACAAGUGUAUCAUAAAAGUGGAUAAUUGAUUAAAUGAUAUUGCUGCACGUACUGUGUUUGGUUAUUCAGUGCCUCUGUUUGGCUUUUUAGCUCAUAAAUCACUCUGAAUACAUUGUACAGUGACAUUUUCUUGGCAAACAGACAAGAGAUGUACUCUCUCGCACUUGAGGGGGGGUAAUGGACUGAUGAUAAUGAUGAAUGGAAAGACAAUACCAGAGAGGUCCAAAAAGUAACAUCAAGUAUGCAUGCUCCACUUCUUUGAAGAAGUUGGACCAACCUGCUCUUUGCAGUACUUCAGAACAUGGACUCACUUGGCAACUGUCUUAAAUAAAGAGCAAAGAAACUGCUUGCUUAAAUGGCACGUGACAGUCUGCAUAUACCCUUUUGCAUGAUGUUCCGAUAUCUGUGCAUUGCUGUGAAUGGAAAUCCUGGAGCUUUGUUUUGCUAAGUCAUCCAAGUGCUUAUAUUACUUUCAAAAAUACUACAAUGAUUUUGAUUUCUAUUACAUGCUAAGUAAGUUCAACUUGUCUAGGGCCUAAGGGUGGAAAAAAAAGCCUAUAGGCUUGGAAAAAAAAAAAGCAAGAGCCUCAAUAAGUAGAAAGAAAAAUUACUUGUAAUAUGUUACCACAAGUAGGAAAUUACCUGAGUUCACAGAUUUCAAAUAAUAGUAAAACAUAAAUAAUAGUGUAGCCUUUGCAAUACUUAAUUAUCUUAAAACUAGCCAAUUUUGGUGAACCCACAGAAAACUCUGGUUGGAAACUGACACCUGAGCUUGAGGUCUGUUUUGAUGAGAGCUUGCUUAGGCAAGACAAAGUAGAAAUCUGAAGUGCCUUAUACAAUGCCUUAGGAAAAUUGUAGAUUCCCUUCAGAUUCAUUUUGAAGAUGCACUUAGUACAAACUCCACUUCCAUUUCAUUUUCAGUGUUUCUGUGGUAACUUUUCUACAGUAAUAUAUUUUAUGUACAUUUUGUUACAUAUGAUAUGUCUUAAGUGUGUACAUAAAACACACUGAACAAGAAUGCAUUUGUCUGAAUGAAUUAUAGAAAACACUUAUUAAAUCUGUUUUGAAAGAUGCUUAAAAUUAAGCAGAAGAAUAUUACAUUCUUAAAUUUUAGCAUUCUAUCCAUUUAGCAGUCUCCCCAUUUAUGCUGUAGACUCUGUGAUUCCAAAUAGGUUUUAGCUUUCUCCCAAACAGCUCUUCUCAAUUUUUUUUUAUUUUUUUUUUUUUUACCUUUGUCCCCUAACUUAAGCAGAUAAGGAAAGUUCUUUGUGACAUUAAUGUAUAUUUAAUCGAGAUCAUUACACUGGUAGUUUGGCCUCAAUCUUCUUCCAAGGACUAUAGUACACACCCCAGUCAUGUCCUGUCAUGUCUUUUGUUCUUUCUCUAAUGUCUCCUUCCCUCAUUCUGACAGGUAAUUUAGAAAGCCUGCCACUUAUCUUACUUGCAUCUCAUUCCACUGGACGUGAAUGAAUUGAAAGAUGGAAUAUAGUGGAACAAAACAAUCUGUAGUACGUUUGAGUAUUUUAAUAAAUAUUUUAAAAUAUUUUUGUUGUCUUCACAAGGAUUUCCCAAGUGUUAGCAGUGCAGGCCAGACAGCACACUACAGUGAUUUUGCCAGGAAAUAAUAUGUGGUUAUUUCCUUAAAAGAUUUUUUUUUAAACAUCAAUAAACGAUACUUUCCUCUUGUGCUAUUAAAUAAAAAAAAGCAAUUCAUGUUAUUGUUUGCUUGGAGGUAAAAAUAAAUGUAUGAUGGAAUGUUAAAAAGCAAACAUGAAAUGUUAGGGAAGAUUAAAACCCCUGCUAAAUCCCUAGAUGAGUACAUAACACACUCAGCCAUAAUCUGCAAUGAUGUAUUGCUCAGAAGAGCAGACAAAUCAGGCAGAUGUCAAAAUCAGCACCUACAUACAUCAAUAAAGCCCAUAAAUCAGACAGUAAUGCUUCAUGUUAACAUGUAUGGACACAAGUAAAGUCUUAUUUACUUCACAGGUCUGAGCCAGGGACAUACAAGGAGAGGGGAGGUCCAAGUACACAUUGUAAAUAGUAGGAUUAGAGUCUUAGGACUGGAAUCAAAGCCACUUGAAUCAGUGGGACUUCUUUUGCUGACUUACAGGGGACUGUUAAUUGGCCACUGUCCAUCUUUUUAAAGAUUUAUUUUAUAUUGGAUUUUUCUUCCUUCCUUUAUAUUGUCUUUUUGCUCAUUUGUUUUUUAAACUUUAGUGGAAAGUAAUUCUUACACUAGAAUCAGAGUUUAACUUCAAAACCACAUUUUCCUCCUAAGUUUGAAACUGCGAAAAGGAAAAAAAAAAUCCUUAUUAUACUCAACCUUUAAAAACCUCAGGAGAGCCAGAAAAUAAAUCCCCAAGGGUUCACUAUUUUUAAAAAUAGAUUAAUUCUUUCUCUAAAGCAAUGAUUUCAUAUGGCACAUUUUGAGUUUUUCUGUAUCCACGGAUCAGUCUUUUUUUACAUUCCAAUAACGAACAACCACAGAGAUACUGACUCAGCUUGACAAUGUUUAUAGUAGAUGUUAUUUAAACUAUAAUAUAAAUGACUUUGAGAUAUGAAGUCAGUUGUAUAAAGACUCUAAGUGUCUCUCUCUGAUCAAUGAUCAGAAAUUGUUCACUAGAUAACUGUAAUUCAUAUGGCGAUCUGCAGAGCAAAGCCAUUUUGGACAGCUGCCCAAAUUCACUUCAUCACAUGGUUAAGUUUAAUUAGACUUUGUAGAGUGACAGAUUACAAAACCAAAAGGGGCUAUUGGGAUCAUCCAUGCUGACUUCCUUUGCAGCUCAGGCCAGUGACCUUUACGGAAUAAAUUGCCAUUCCGAGAACAAAGGUAUUUUCAGCCAGGUAUCCACUUUUGUUGUAAAAACUCUGGUGAUGCGUUGUAACCCUUAGUACUGUUGACCCAGUGUUUUCUAGCUACCCUUGUUCAAAUAUCUUCCUUGCCCAAAGCUUUAUACCAGCUAAAAUCAGCCCCUGGGCUCGUUCUGCUGCCAGGGCCCUGGAGAGGCCCCUGGUCCCUGCUGCUGACCCCUGGGGCCUGGCCUGACUUGGCUCUGAAUGGGGAACCAACUGCUCCCUCUGUCCUUCCAGCAAAACUGUGCCCAUCUGUGGGAGCCAAGUGGCUCCACAAGACACCUAACCAGGUCGCCUCUUAAACAAAGUCCCUGCCUGGGGACAUUGUGGUGUGCAUAGAGCCUAGGAAGGUGGUGGGCCAUUGCAGUUGGAUUUUAGGACAUCUGAAUUGCCUUUAAUCAGUCAGCAACUUACACAAGUACGUCCCCAAAUAGGGAAUGUAAGUCUACUUUGUAAGUCAGAUUGUCAGUUAAAUUUAAAUGAGUACAUAAGGCACGCAAGGGUAGAAAUAGUCACAUUGCCAUGGGUACUAAAAUGAACGAUCAAGUCAUCGCUAAGAAAUGGCUUUCAAUGGCAACCAGUGCAGAUAUUUGGAAAUCUAACGGUGUGCACUUCAGGUCAUGUAAUAAGCAUGCUUGAGAGCUCCCUUUCUGACUUGCCAAAAUUAAAACCAAGACUGCUUUCCAUGCCUUGAUUCUGCCUUUGGAAGUAUAUAUGCUCAUAAUUAAUUCUAGAACAUAUUUAUUUUUAGGCAGAUGUGAUCUAUAAAAACAGAAUGAAUCAAUUUGUAAAAAAGAGAACAAGAAAAUAAGUUCGCAGUUCAAGUGAGAGAACAGUAUUUCUGUUGGUGGUCUGGUAUUUGUUUGUUUUGCCAAUGGAAGAAGUGAGUAAUAGCACAGAGUUAUUUACUUUGCAUGCUUGUACUUACCCAUACUUUCAGAAUUUCUAACAUUCAAAUUUUAAAUGAUCAUGGCCACAAGACCGGUAUAUGUACUUGAGCCUGAUGAGCAUUUAUACUCUUCAGCUGAUGACAACAAAACUCAGCUGUAGCUUAAAGUUCUAUGAGGGUCAUACUGACCACUUUCUGUGUUUUAUAAUAUGUGAAUAACCUUCUUAGACUAAUACUAAUUAACUUUGUAUGGUUUCUGCUGUAAAUUAUUUUCUGAGCCACUUAGGACUUUUCUCAGCCAAUUGCAUAUAUGGCAAAAGGUUAAUUGUUUGUCAAAGACAAAGAAAAGGGCUUCUCUGUGACUCCCAGAAGAAAUUAAGAAAAUAAUGAAAUCUCUCUAUGGGAAUUAAUCUACUUCAUCUGUGAUGUACCAACUGCAAAACUUCUAUGAUAUUCAAAUAUAUAUUUUCAAGAGCAGUGUUUGACAAAAACAGAGUGCAUAUUUCUAUAAAACAAUGGCAUGGAUUUCUGCAUUGUUCACAAACCUGGCUAGCAACAGAUGCAAUAAUUUAGGUUUGACUGUUUUGAGAAGAAUUAUAUCAUGGAUAUAUAAAAAAUACAUGUCUUUCUUAUGCUGAUCAAGGCAUGCUGGGUUGUUCAAAUUAGCCUACAGAGUGAAGGAAAAUUGUACUUGUAUACAUGGCAAACACUAUCAGUCAAACAGGGAUUGCAUAAUUAUUGUGGCAUGAAACAUUUAUGUGGCAUAUCAGUACCAGAAAAGAAGGGAAUUGACAAUGGCAUCCAACAACUGACAAAAGAACCCGUAUCUGAUACCACACAAUAAUGUAGUUUUCACAGCUUAUUUAGAGCUGAUUUAUGAUGCAGAGCUUAUAGAAAUGCCCUCAUUUUAAUUUUUUUAAAGACAUUUGUAAUGUUUUGUCUCUCUUGUUUCUUUCUGAGUUCCUUAUGAAAAGACUCAUCUACAGAGAUGUUGGUUGAAGAAUCCUAAAAGUAAAUAAAAUUAUUUCAAAAAUUGUGUAAAAAAGUUUUUAAAAGUAAAGAAAUAAUGUGACCUUGUCAGAAAAUUAUUUAUUAAUUGUUCAUGCAAAUUACUUGCUUACUUAAGAAACAGUUUCCUUCUUCCUCAUGCUACUAUUGGGCCUUAUACUUCGUCCUUUGCUUUGUCUUCUAUAGUUGGCUGUGUAAGCAAAGCUGAAAUCAAUCAGCUUUGAUGAGACUUAUGUGUAAAGAUCUCACAUGUGGAGAAAUAAGGCAGUUUUUGCAAUCCAGAAUUGUAGAACGUAAUGGUUUUUUGUUAUGUGUGUACUUAUACACACUGUUCCAUAAAAAAUAACUAACAUUUUGCAAACCUCAGUCCAAAAGCUCUGAAGUAUAAUAAAAUGUAGGAAAAAAAAUGUUUUAAAAAACAUAUAGGGGCAGGGUAAUAAAAUAAAAAGCUAGAAAGUUAGUGUGUGAGAGACCUAAUGGUGGAAGUAAGGUGAAGGUUAAAAACUGUGCUUUUGGUGCUAAAAGUUGUGCUGAUUAUUUCACUUUGCGUAGUUGAAAUGGUUGAGUAGGUUAAAACCUGGGACCUGAGUGUCAUUUAAAGUGCAGCAUACAUUUAUCUUGUAUAACGUAGCACUACUUUACUUUCUAGGUCAUCUGUGUAUAAUCACGUCCUGGGUGAAAUGUCAACUUCAUUGAAUUCAGUGGGUGUUAUCUCCUUGCUUUAAAGAAGGGCCAGACUUCAUGCUUAUAUGUGUUUACUUCUUUACUAAUGCUGACCAAGCAUGAGAAGCAGUUAGUAACAGUAAAAUCCUCUUGCUGUCUUCACAGUUACUAUUUCCAGCUGCUGUAGGUUCUCUAAAUUGGCAAACAAGGUAUUUCCUUGCAGGGCAGGCCAGAUCUUCCUCCCCUUACCAGCAGCAGUAGAAUCAGUAAUACCAGCAACCAGCAGAACUUCCAUUGCUUCUAAAGUUUCUUAACAGGCUGACUUCAAACUAGGAAGAAAGAGCACAACUGCCAUUAACAUGAAUCAGAGAUGCUGAAAUAUUAGAAGACGUUUUUGCGAGAGCCACAACAAAGAUUCAACACCCAAAAACCUGACUUGGGAUGAAAGACAAGAAGCUCUGAAGCUCUAUCUAUUAAUAGUUAUUUUAUUCAAUAAAAAACGGAUAUUAAAUUAAUUAUUUCUACUGGUAUUCCUAUGAGAGAAAAUUUCUGAUGAUAAAGUCCUCUUUAUCUGAUAAAGAUAAAAGAAGAUUUGGUAGCUGUACUCAGAUUAGGUAAUUCAUGCAUAUUUUACAAGGAAAAUCUGGGAAAGCAAAACAGCAGGUGCAUUUUUCACUGCUUCAAUAUUUAAAACUGAAGGCUUUUUUACUGUUUUGGUUUUAUUUUUGUGGGGUUUUUUGGUGUUAUUUGGCUGUUUGGUGGUUGGUGUUUUUUGUGUUUGGGUUUUUUUUGGUGCUUUAAUAAAGUACAGUAAAUUCAGAAAGUUAUAGGAUUGAUUAUGUGCAUGUUUGUGUGAAACUGUAUGCUAUAUGAUGCAUGUGUCAGGUGACAACAGGUGACAAUAAUCCUCCUUUCUUACCUUUAGAAUCCAUGACUGAUUCAUUUUUUAUUGUGUAAUUUGCAAUAGCAUCUAGAGUAGGCAAACUUCGAUUUUUGGGUAUUAUCCUGUUAGACAUUAAACUCAUGUAAUGAAAACACUGCUCUGGUUCUAGAGGUUUGUCAAUUCAGAUAAUUAGUAAUGAACACGCUCUUUGCUUCAGUUAAAUAUAUUAACAGUAACUCUUACAUAUGUCUGGAAGGGUUAUCUGUGGAGAACGAGGGUGGGAGUUUGCUCAUCUAUAGCCACAGUAGUUCUGGCAGACAUGAAGAGUUCUUGCAGGAAGAUAAAGUGUGUGCUUGCAUUAGAACACAGGAGUCAAACUGACUCCAAACUGCUUCUUCACUCAGGUUCAUUAGAUAUUGGUCUCACAACGUAGCCUAGUAACUUUUCUUUGAUUUACUUAAACAGCCCAAGUUUUUAAAACUCACAAAUGAUUUUCAGUAAUGUUGGCUCUGUCUACAGAAGGAAGAUAGAUUAAAUAUAAUAUAAUUAUAUUUAAUAAAUAUAUACAUAUCAUAUUUAAUUUAUGGUUUGAAGUAUUCCAGCUAUUUGGAUACUAGGCUACUGGUAAACUGGUGUGACUUGUACUCAACUGCCUGCAACUACAGACUGGAUUAACGAAGCCUGUUACUCCUAAAAUCCAUAGACCAUUUAAAUAUUUUUCCAGAAGUGAAAAUAUACUAAACUUCUGUGAACUCUCCCUCACUAUCCAGCUUUAAACUUAGUUACUGUAACAUGUGAAUGAAGUUCUAUACUUAUUUUCAGAAACCUUGACUUUAGAAAAAAAGGACACUUGACUGAUUUACAUUCAAAAGCAAACUGAAAACCAUGGAUUUCAUAAUGUUCAUACUGGAUUAGGUUAACUGAUCAUGUUAAUCACACUGAGCCCUUAGGCAAUGUUUAUUAGAGUAUAAACCUGCUUAAUUUGUUUUCUGUAUUUUUUUUUUCCUAGUGAAUUGAGAUGUUACUUUUGCAGAUCUUCAAAUAUCAUCUUAGCAAUUUGCAAAUUAAUACACUAUUAGGUGGUAAUUUUGUAGUUUUUUUGUUUUUCGUUUUUUGUUUUGUUUUUAUUUUAGAAUGAUGUUGUCUUAUGGUUUUGGUAGCAUGAAGAAAGCAGUAAAAUUCAUCAAGGGUGAAACUCAUUCCUGGAAGAAAGCCAAAAAAGGGAAUUUGUUCCAAUUAUGUUGUGCUUGAGACGUGCUAUGACGUGGUUUUAUUGAAAAAAUUAUGGGACUAAGAUUCUUGAAGAAUUAUUCUCAAAUGAUUUCUGGUAUGCUGUGCUGAUAUCACUGUAAUAUCAGAACAUCUCAGGAAAUCAAUUAAUUUACAAUCUGUAGGACUCAUGAGAAACAAUUAUUUUCCUAGACAGAAUUGAGUGAGAUUAAAAAGUUUUCCCAAGGUCAUGCAAAAAGUUACUACUGAGGUAGGCACUCACCAGAGCCAAAAGGAACUAAAAUUUUUAUUCUAUUAAUUCAGAUGCUUCUUUGUGGAAUACAGAAUGAGAGCAAUUGAGAAUUCCUAUGAAAAGUUUUUGAAAAUUUGCAUCUGGAUAAAAGCAUUGUGCUUUGUUAAAUAAUCUUGACUUUUGAACUUUUUUAGUACUUAAACUAACAAACCCAAAAAACAACAAACCAAAAACAUAUACAAAAAAUGGGAAAAUUGUCUACUGGCAUAGAA